This 1438-nucleotide ribosomal RNA is filed under the name uncultured organism. RNAcentral describes it as "16S ribosomal RNA". It matches the Rfam family "Bacterial small subunit ribosomal RNA". The record is from RNAcentral.
ACGCUAGCUACAGGCUUAACACAUGCAAGUCGAGGGGCAGCAUUUUAGUUUGCUUGCAAACUGAAGAUGGCGACCGGCGCACGGGUGAGUAACACGUAUCCAACCUGCCGAUAACUCCGGAAUAGCCUUUCGAAAGAAAGAUUAAUACCGGAUAGCAUACGAAUAUCGCAUGAUAUUUUUAUUAAAGAAUUUCGGUUAUCGAUGGGGAUGCGUUCCAUUAGUUUGUUGGCGGGGUAACGGCCCACCAAGACUACGAUGGAUAGGGGUUCUGAGAGGAAGGUCCCCCACAUUGGAACUGAGACACGGUCCAAACUCCUACGGGAGGCAGCAGUGAGGAAUAUUGGUCAAUGGGCGAGAGCCUGAACCAGCCAAGUAGCGUGAAGGAUGAAGGCUCUAUGGGUCGUAAACUUCUUUUAUAUGGGAAUAAAGUUUUCCACGUGUGGAAUUUUGUAUGUACCAUAUGAAUAAGGAUCGGCUAACUCCGUGCCAGCAGCCGCGGUAAUACGGAGGAUCCGAGCGUUAUCCGGAUUUAUUGGGUUUAAAGGGAGCGUAGGUGGAUUGUUAAGUCAGUUGUGAAAGUUUGCGGCUCAACCGUAAAAUUGCAGUUGAAACUGGCAGUCUUGAGUACAGUAGAGGUGGGCGGAAUUCGUGGUGUAGCGGUGAAAUGCUUAGAUAUCACGAAGAACUCCGAUUGCGAAGGCAGCUCACUAGACUGUCACUGACACUGAUGCUCGAAAGUGUGGGUAUCAAACAGGAUUAGAUACCCUGGUAGUCCACACAGUAAACGAUGAAUACUCGCUGUUUGCGAUAUACAGUAAGCGGCCAAGCGAAAGCAUUAAGUAUUCCACCUGGGGAGUACGCCGGCAACGGUGAAACUCAAAGGAAUUGACGGGGGCCCGCACAAGCGGAGGAACAUGUGGUUUAAUUCGAUGAUACGCGAGGAACCUUACCCGGGCUUAAAUUGCAACAGAAUAUAUUGGAAACAGUAUAGCCGUAAGGCUGUUGUGAAGGUGCUGCAUGGUUGUCGUCAGCUCGUGCCGUGAGGUGUCGGCUUAAGUGCCAUAACGAGCGCAACCCUUAUCUUUAGUUACUAACAGGUCAUGCUGAGGACUCUAGAGAGACUGCCGUCGUAAGAUGUGAGGAAGGUGGGGAUGACGUCAAAUCAGCACGGCCCUUACGUCCGGGGCUACACACGUGUUACAAUGGGGGGUACAGAAGGCGGCUACCUGGUGACAGGAUGCUAAUCCCAAAAACCUCUCUCAGUUCGGAUCGAAGUCUGCAACCCGACUUCGUGAAGCUGGAUUCGCUAGUAAUCGCGCAUCAGCCAUGGCGCGGUGAAUACGUUCCCGGGCCUUGUACACACCGCCCGUCAAGCCAUGAAAGCCGGGGGUACCUGAAGUACGUAACCGCAAGGAGCGUCCUAGGGUAAAACUGGUAA